CUCCUGUUACGUAUACUGAAGGUAUACCGGAAAAGAAUACACUCAGGAUACAUUCAGUAUACGUACAGGCG
Non-coding RNA from Zootermopsis nevadensis, 71 nucleotides. The record is from Rfam. NCBI's taxonomy places the organism in Eukaryota, Metazoa, Arthropoda, Insecta, Blattodea, Termopsidae.